GCUGGGGGGGGGGUGUGGGGAGGUGGGGGAGGGAGGAAGGCAGGGAGGGAAGAUGGAAACAUACCGUACACAAAAUACUCAAUUCCUAGUUUUCUCUUUAAAAAUGGCUAGAAAAAAUUCAUCAAAAUGCAGCACUUUAAUCAAUUAUUUACAAUUUCUAUGUUACAAUGAAAAAAUGUACAUCUUAUAGAACAUAUUUCAUAAACUGCUCCACUGGAAACAACUAGCUCAAAACAGCAAACCUUCCAUUUAGUAUCCACAAAGUCAGAUUAUUUUUUUCUUUUGAAGUAGAUUCGCCACGAUCAAAUUUGAAUACACAGAAUUUUGAAAUUUAAGCAUCAACAGUAAAAUAAAAAACAUCCCCAAGAUACCACAAAGGUCUAGGCAAAUCUUGUUCUUGUUCCUGUCCCACCCCUACCCCGCCCCCCCUUAAAUUAAACGGUACCCCCAUCUCAUUUAUGGCCCGUAUAAUUCUUGGCAGUUUGGGAAGAAAACUUUUGGCUUCCAUUGGUAACUCAACAUAAAUGUUGCAUAGAAUUUCAUAUAUUUCAAAAUUCGCCUAAAUGUAAAAAAAGGCAAAAUGGAAGCAUUUCGGACAGAGCCCUAAAUGAGUAGAAAGUCACUUUGUCAAAGGUGGCUGGGAAAACUGCCCAAGAGGAGAAGUCAAUUUUACCUCCUCCCAAAUUCACAGUAUGAGCGUGUAAGGUCAUCGCUGGGAGAUAAAUUGAGAAGGACCACUCUUCAGGUUUACCAGAAGGCUCAGGGUGUGGCCCGUGGUCACAGGCUAAAUAUAUGGAUCAAAAACGUUAUGAAAAACAGAACAGAACAAGCCACACUCACACACCCAGAUGACUAAGGAAGGCUCGGCAGGGGGUUGAGUCCACUGAGAUUAAAGCAGAGACAGGACGAGAGGUUUUCCAUUCCCCAGCUAGCGGGACACAUUCCCCUUUUCCUUUCCAGGAAGAAAACGGUGUCAUCCAACGUAAUGUGAGCAGUUUCAGGUCAAGCUCUUGUG
This 1015-nucleotide long non-coding RNA is filed under the name Equus caballus (horse). RNAcentral describes it as "lncRNA (ENSECAG00000047847.1)". Lineage: Eukaryota; Metazoa; Chordata; Mammalia; Perissodactyla; Equidae. The record is from RNAcentral.